CAGUGUAUUAUUUCUGCAUGAGUGAAAGUUGGUUAAAGAUAAGAUUAAUGAUAGAUCAAGUUACAAGCUCCCACACAAAUGUAUAGAAACAACCCCAGGUGGAAUUUGGGUCAGUUAAGAUUAUAUAUGCAGGCAAACAUCAGGUCAGAUGCAAAGAAAUAGUUCUUGCCUAUUCUCUUCAUUAAUUGAAAAAAAAAGAAGUGUUUAUAGAAAGGAUGUUUUUUCAACAGCUUUUCAACUUAAGGAUUUGACACCUUCUUUAGCUGACCAAGAAAGUGUAUGUGUGGGAUCAAUUUAUCUGUGUAGUAAUACCAAAUUUUGAAAUCUGGCAUUUGAUGAGUCAGCCUGGGAGAAACUGGAAACACAUUGUGAGAGGUACCUUCUGUGAAAAAAGUGCAACUUGGUGACAUGAUCUGCCUGCCGGACUGUAUACCUGAGCAGCAUACAGCUUAUUACUGCAUAAAAGAAACAUAUCAAGAUAAUUUUGAAUCAGAUUGUGUGCUGGAAAAAUGGCCUUACAUCCAAAGGAGUGAAAUUUGGAGAGUCAUUCGCCAUCUACUUAAGCCAUCCUGGAAUAUGAAAAAAUAAGACUGCAUUGACAACAUCCUGAUCCUCGUGUUCAAAUCUUUUGUGAUUUCUUGUGAAGAGUCUUUGAUUUUUCAUAAAAAUAAAAAAUAUAUCAAUAUAAUUUGAUUUUUGCUUACUACUGAGUUUUUUCAGAUUCAGCAGGUGCAGUCGAUUUCCACUAGUUGCCACGUAUUUUCCUACUAUUGCCAGCUAUUUGGUGGCAUUUAGUGGAAAAUAGGACUGCCACCAUAGUGGCGUUUUGGUAAAAUUUUGUCUGCUUACUGCCACCUGUUAGGUGGCAAUUGGUGGAAGCAAGUGGCGUUUAGUGGAAAAUAUUUUUACACCAUAAUGGUGGCAUUUUAGUGAUAAUUUGUCUAAAUACUCCACUUACUGCCACCAUGAAGGUGGCUAUUGGUGGAAUUAAGUGGCAAACAAAUUUUCCACCAUAAUGGUGGCAUAUUGGUGUAAAACUGUCUAAAUACUCCACUUAUUGCCACCUAAAGGUGUACACAAGUGGAAAGAGGUGGAAUUUAGUAGAAAACAGGUUUGCCACUGUCCUGUUCAUUUUUUCACCAUUUUGGUGGCAUUUUAGGUGGCAUUUUGGUGGAAAAUUGUCUAAAUACUCCACCAUUGAAAAAGGUGGCAUUAUAGUGGCAAAUCUAGGGAC
Molecule: long non-coding RNA, 1234 nt
Organism: Mercenaria mercenaria
Lineage: Eukaryota; Metazoa; Mollusca; Bivalvia; Venerida; Veneridae
Exons: 3
Source: RefSeq, a predicted model, not a curated record